GACGAACGCUGGCGGCGUGCUUAACACAUGCAAGUCGAACGGAAAGGCCCUGCUUUUGUUGGGUGCUCGAGUGGCGAACGGGUGAGUAACACGUGAGUAACCUGUCCUUGACUUUGGGAUAACUUCAGGAAACUGGGGCUAAUACCGGAUAGGAGCUCCUGCUGCAUGGUGGGGGUUGGUAAGUUUCGGCGGUUGGGGAUGGACUCGCGGCUUAUCCGCUUGUUGGGGGGGUAGUGGCUUACCAAGGCUUUGACGGGUAGCCGGCCUGAGAGGGUGACCGGCCACAUUGGGACUGAGAUACGGCCCAGACUCCUACGGGAGGCAGCAGUGGGGAAUAUUGCACAAUGGGCGGAAGCCUGAUGCAGCAACGCCGCGUGCGGGAUGACGGCCUUCGGGUUGUAAACCGCUUUCGCCUGUGACGAAGCGUGAGUGACGGUAAUGGGUAAAGAAGCACCGGCUAACUACGUG
RNAcentral lists this ribosomal RNA (468 nucleotides) under uncultured bacterium. Its description in RNAcentral is "partial 16S ribosomal RNA". It matches the Rfam family "Bacterial small subunit ribosomal RNA", at positions 28 to 507 of the family's 1533-position model. The record is from RNAcentral.